RNAcentral lists this non-coding RNA (131 nucleotides) under Tursiops truncatus (common bottlenose dolphin). RNAcentral also lists the same sequence under 1 other name. Lineage: Eukaryota; Metazoa; Chordata; Mammalia; Artiodactyla; Delphinidae. The record is from RNAcentral.
GUGUUUGAUGAAAGGAGAGGGUUGGCACUUUCCUUGACAAGGAUGGAUGGAAGAGGCCCCAGGCCUGACAACACACAUAUGGGUAAUGCAUUGCCACAUUGUCACAUUGUGACAUCUAACCAUGGUUUUUA